RNAcentral lists this ribosomal RNA (1497 nucleotides) under Triticum aestivum (bread wheat). RNAcentral's name for it is "partial small subunit ribosomal RNA". The record is from RNAcentral. Lineage: Eukaryota; Viridiplantae; Streptophyta; Magnoliopsida; Poales; Poaceae.
AUGGAGGAGCGCGGAGGUGGCCGUGAAUCUAGGAGGAGGUGGCGGGGACAGGGCACCGUACAACUGCCCGGCGAUGAUACGCGAUCCGAAGAGGAUGAGGUGCUAUUUGAGGAUCUCUUUGGUCAUGCGUUUGAUGGAGUGAAGGUGCUACUUGAGGAUUCUUUUGUUUCCGCAUCUGAUAGCAAGAGCCCCAAGAAUAAUCUGAAGUGUAGAUCAUUUAGUGUUUCUACUCUUUGCUCACCUUCAAGGUUUCUACCUGAGAAGUUUGGAGGCAACUCACAUGGAUUUCAUUACAUUGGUAACCUUGCUGAUGCUACAAUUAUGAAUGUUGAACUUUGUUGUGAGAAGCAAUUCAAUAAGUUGGACCUAGGGCCUCCCAAUUUUGACAGCAUCUGUGGAAUUAUACUGGCACAAAAGGUGAAGUGCUGGCAGAUCAGGUGUCUAACUAAAGCCCCGCAAGCUGCUGGUGCAAUUCACACUGAUUUUGAAAGAGGCUUCAUGUGUACUAAGGAUAUGGUGUUGGAUCUUUCGGAUAUUAGCAAGGGGAGCAUCAAAUGCAUUCACUUUACCGUUCUGAAGUUACAAGUUCAUGAUCCUUUGAUAUCCAUUCUAAUGUAUCAGAGAAAACUGCUGAACAAGAUGUUCUCUUCACGCCAUGUCUUAUCUCAGUUGCAAUAUUAUAGAUUUUUUUCAUCAAGGAAGCAGAGGAAGGCAAUGAAUCAAAUUGAAGAUUUGAAGGCAAGGAACAUAGCCAUUCUGUGUUUGGAUGAUGGUUUUGAAGAAGUCUUAUUAAGCUUCAAAAGUGUAAUAGCGCAAAUGCGCCAGAAUUCUUAUGAUUAUGGCAAGCGAGUUGAUCUCUCCAAGCGUUAUGGACCUGGCUACAAGGUGUACACAGCAGGAGGAGCUGGGGCAUUCCAUGUGAUAAUUCAGCAUUGCAAAGCGUCAUUGCGCAUGUCUUUUUCAGCAAGAGACCUGUAUUCCAGAGCUUGGAGAAAUGAGUUGGGAACAUUUGUCAUGGCACCAGAUGUCACAGGGUGGUUAUACAUAAUAAAUGAAGACCAUCAAACUCUUUCGUUCACAAGCAGUUAUACCUAUGGCGGUCUUGGUGGAGACGACGUCAAGGACACGUGGAUUGGCGUUGAUGCACUCCGUCACGCAUUUCAUGUGAUACGCAAGUCAGAUGGAAGGCGCACAGACCUUCUUAGACAAGCUAUCAAGAUUGUCAGCAUUCACUUGUCAGAAUCAGCCCGCCUCCAGUCAGUUUUUGAAGCAGUUUGCAAGUCCAUGACUGAUGAUACGCGAACCACUUUGGAUGUUGAACCUGAGGCUGCAGCCGGUGCUGCUGAAGCCACCGGCUGCAGCCGGUGCGGCUGCAGCCGGUGCUGCUGCAGCCGGUGUUGCUGCAGCUGGUGCGGCUCGGCCAAUAAGAACUCAUACCCCCUCGUUUUGGGUAGAGAAUUAUGGUUACUACUCCAAACAGGCGAUGAAAGCGGUUGA